GACGAACGCUGGCGGCGUGCUUAACACAUGCAAGUCGAACGGAAAGGCCCUGCUUUUGUGGGGUGCUCGAGUGGCGAACGGGUGAGUAACACGUGAGUAACCUGCCCUGGACUUUGGGAUAACUUCAGGAAACUGGGGCUAAUACCGGAUAGGAGCUCCUGCUGAAUGGUGGGGGUUGGAAAGUUUCGGCGGUUGGGGAUGGACUCGCGGCUUAUCAGCUUGUUGGUGGGGUAGUGGCUUACCAAGGCUUUGACGGGUAGCCGGCCUGAGAGGGUGACCGGCCACAUUGGGACUGAGAUACGGCCCAGACUCCUACGGGAGGCAGCAGUGGGGAAUAUUGCACAAUGGGCGGAAGCCUGAUGCAGCAACGCCGCGUGCGGGAUGACGGCCUUCGGGUUGUAAACCGCUUUCGCCUGUGACGAAGCGUGAGUGACGGUAAUGGGUAAAGAAGCACCGGCUAACUACGUG
Molecule: ribosomal RNA, 468 nt
Filed under: uncultured bacterium
Lineage: Bacteria
Description: partial 16S ribosomal RNA
Rfam family: Bacterial small subunit ribosomal RNA
Source: RNAcentral